RNAcentral lists this long non-coding RNA (234 nucleotides) under Setaria italica (foxtail millet). Its description in RNAcentral is "long non-coding RNA (SITA_LNC006986)". The record is from RNAcentral. Lineage: Eukaryota; Viridiplantae; Streptophyta; Magnoliopsida; Poales; Poaceae.
UGAACUAUCCAGGGGGAAACAUAAAAAACUAGCAGAAGCCCUACACAAUAAUAGCUGGGUGACGGACAUUAACAUCCAUGCCGGACUGACAACACAACACUUGCAAGAAUUCGUCUCUUUAUGGCGACUACUAGCGCCAGUAACACUGCAAGAACUACAAGAAGACACAAUACGUUGGAAAUUCACACAAAACGGACAGUAUUCAGCGGCAUCAGCAUACAGGGCGCAGUUUCU